This 305-nucleotide ribosomal RNA is filed under the name uncultured bacterium. Its description in RNAcentral is "bacterial SSU rRNA". It matches the Rfam family "Bacterial small subunit ribosomal RNA", at positions 333 to 635 of the family's 1533-position model. The record is from RNAcentral.
UCUUACCUACGGGAGGCAGCAGUGAGGAAUAUUGGUCAAUGGGCUUACGCCUGAACCAGCCAAGUCGCGUGAGGGAAGACUGCCCUAUGGGUUGUAAACCUCUUUUGUCAGGGAGCAAUUGGCGCUACGUGUAGCGUUAUCGAGAGUACCUGAAGAAAAAGCAUCGGCUAACUCCGUGCCAGCAGCCGCGGUAAUACGGAGGAUGCGAGCGUUAUCCGGAUUUAUUGGGUUUAAAGUGUGCGCAGGCUGCGAGUUAAGUCAGCGGUAAAAUUUCUGUGCUCAACCCCGACGAGCCGUUGAAACUG